RNAcentral lists this ribosomal RNA (468 nucleotides) under uncultured bacterium. RNAcentral describes it as "partial 16S ribosomal RNA". It matches the Rfam family "Bacterial small subunit ribosomal RNA", at positions 28 to 523 of the family's 1533-position model. The record is from RNAcentral.
GAUGAACGCUGGCGGCGUGCCUAACACAUGCAAGUCGAGCGAUUCUCUUCGGAGAAGAGCGGCGGACGGGUGAGUAACGCGUGGGUAACCUGCCCUAUACACACGGAUAACGUACCGAAAGGUACGCUAAUACGAGAUAAUAUAAGAGAUUCGCAUGGAUUUCUUAUCAAAGCUCCGGCGGUAUAGGAUGGACCCGCGUCUGAUUAGCUAGUUGGUAAGGUAAUGGCUUACCAAGGCGACGAACAGUAGCCGACCUGAGAGGGUGAUCGGCCACAUUAGAACUGAGACACGGUACAAACUCCGACGGGAGGCAGCAGUGGGGAAUAUUGCACAAUGGGCGAAAGCCUGAUGCAGUAACGCCGCGUGAGCGAUGAAGGCCUUCGGGUCGUAAAGCUCUGUCCUCAAGGAAGAUAAUGACGGUACUUGAGGAGGAAGCCCCGGCUAACUACGUGCCAGCAUCCGCCGUAA